Molecule: transfer RNA, 68 nt
Filed under: Cercopithecus neglectus (De Brazza's monkey)
Lineage: Eukaryota; Metazoa; Chordata; Mammalia; Primates; Cercopithecidae
Description: tRNA-Thr
Rfam family: tRNA
About the family: Transfer RNA (tRNA) molecules are approximately 80 nucleotides in length. Their secondary structure includes four short double-helical elements and three loops (D, anti-codon, and T loops).
Source: RNAcentral
GCCCUUGUAGUACAAACUAAUACACUAGUCUUGUAAACUAGAAAUGGGACCCACAACCCCCUAGGACA